RNAcentral lists this ribosomal RNA (506 nucleotides) under uncultured bacterium. RNAcentral describes it as "partial 16S ribosomal RNA". It matches the Rfam family "Bacterial small subunit ribosomal RNA", at positions 28 to 523 of the family's 1533-position model. The record is from RNAcentral.
GAUGAACGCUAGCUACAGGCUUAACACAUGCAAGUCGAGGGGUAACGAGAGGAAAGCCUGCUUUCCUUGUCGACGACCGGCGCACGGGUGAGUAACGCGUAUCCAACCUGCCCCCAACUAAGGAAUAACCUUGCGAAAGUAAGACUAAUACCUUAUAAUUUCCUCAGAUGUCAUCUGACGAGGAAUAAAGAUUUAUCGGUGGUGGAUGGGGAUGCGUCUGAUUAGCUUGUUGGCGGGGUAACGGCCCACCAAGGCAACGAGCAGUAGGGGUUCUGAGAGGAAGGUCCCGCACAUUGGAACUGAGACACGGUCCAAACUCCUACGGGAGGCAGCAGUGAGGAAUAUUGGUCAAUGGGCGGAAGCCUGAACCAGCCAAGUAGCGUGCAGGAUGACGGCCCUAUGGGUUGUAAACUGCUUUUAUACAGGAAUAAAGUUAGCCACGUGUGGUUAUUUGUAGGUACUGUAUGAAUAAGGACCGGUUAAUUCCGUGCCAGCCGCCGCGGUAA